Odocoileus virginianus texanus is the source of this 831-nucleotide non-coding RNA. NCBI's taxonomy places the organism in Eukaryota, Metazoa, Chordata, Mammalia, Artiodactyla, Cervidae. The record is from RefSeq and is a predicted model, not a curated record.
AGCAGACUACCCAAAUUCAAACCCCUCAAAGGUAUCUUCAAGGAAAUUGCCUCAUUUUGUUUAGCCUGUUUACUUCUUCCAAUGCGGUAGUAAAAGUACCAAGUUCCCUGUCAUACUCUACACUGAGCAUUUGGGAGCCUGACACACAUUAAGUAAUUUAUGAGAAGACUGGGAUGGACUAAUUUUUGGUCCUGCUUUCAUAGUCCCUGAAAGAGCCUUCAGGCAGUGUCAAGAGAAACCCAGGUGUUUACCUCUAGAUCUGAGGGUGACUGAAAUCAGCCCAGCUUCAAGCUAUUAAGAAAUAGAAGCAUAGCUUGGUCUCCAAAGGGAAUACUGGAAUGCUGUUUCAAAUUUUAAGAGGAACAGAUUUCAGAUCAGCAAAAACAGAUGUCCACAAAGAGGAAAGUUAAAAUAUCAAAUGCGACAGAAGACAAGAAUUACGAGGAGGAAAGAAAACCUCUGAAUUUUGCAGCCAGAUCUUUAGUGUUUCUACAGUGGAAAGGCUAUGAACUUCUACUGGACUGGGAAAUUACAUUACUUAGAGAAUGCAGAGCACAAGAAUACUGGAGACCUGGCCAAUGUGAUCUUCUCUAAGGUGACUCAGAGUGGAGGUAUUUUCUCAUGCUCUGAAGAGACUCUGCCUUCUACCUACUUUCACGUAGACCACCUUACUUCAAGACAGGAAAUGCUCCUUCAUCACGUACUCUCCAAACUUUCUUUUGACUCCCUCUCCAUCCUGAAGCCACUUUCAUCCCCUGUUGUAAGAAUAAAGAAGCAAUCCUGUUCUAUUAUUUACCUCUUGGAUCUACUGUAAAAGGUUAUUUAAUCUGA